CGCGGGGUAGAGCAGUCCGGUAGCUCGCAAGGCUCAUAACCUUGAGGUCACAAGUUCAAAUCUUGUCCCCGCAACCA
RNAcentral lists this transfer RNA (77 nucleotides) under Candidatus Susulua stagnicola. RNAcentral's name for it is "tRNA-Met". It matches the Rfam family "tRNA". From Rfam's summary of the family: Transfer RNA (tRNA) molecules are approximately 80 nucleotides in length. Lineage: Bacteria; Pseudomonadati; Candidatus Omnitrophota. The record is from RNAcentral.